This 61-nucleotide transfer RNA is filed under the name Plagiorchis maculosus. RNAcentral describes it as "tRNA-Leu". The record is from RNAcentral. Lineage: Eukaryota; Metazoa; Platyhelminthes; Trematoda; Plagiorchiida; Plagiorchiidae.
UAAGAGUGCCAGAUAGUAUGGGAUGGAUUUAGGUUCCUUUUAGGAUUUUUAAUCCUCUUGC